AUUGAACGCUGGCGGCAGGCCUAACACAUGCAAGUCGAGCGGUUGCAGGGAGCAGGCUGCUUCAUUCCGCGGCGGACGGGUACGUAAGGGCUAGGACUCUGCCAGGGCGUGGGGGAUGGCGUCAGCUACCGGGAACUGUUACCGCAACCGCAUAGCGUGGCAAGGUGAAGGAUGGUGGGCCCCGACGCUCUCGGAUUCGCCUAGGUCGGAUUAGCUAGUUGGUGGGGUAAAGGCCUACCAAGGCGACGAUCCGUAUCUGGUCUGAGAGGAUGAUCAGUCACACUGGAACUGAGACACGGUCCAGACUCCUACGGGAGGCAGCAGUGGGGAAUAUUGGACAAUGGGCGCAAGCCUGAUGCAGCCAUGCCGCGUGUGUGAAGAAGGUCUUCGGAUUGUAAAGCACUUUAAGUUGGGAGGAAGGGCAGUAAGUUAAUACCUUGCUGUUUUGACGUUACCAACAGAAUAAGCACCGGCUAACUUCGUG
This 484-nucleotide ribosomal RNA is filed under the name uncultured bacterium. RNAcentral describes it as "partial 16S ribosomal RNA". It matches the Rfam family "Bacterial small subunit ribosomal RNA", at positions 30 to 507 of the family's 1533-position model. The record is from RNAcentral.